This 447-nucleotide ribosomal RNA is filed under the name uncultured bacterium. RNAcentral describes it as "partial 16S ribosomal RNA". It matches the Rfam family "Bacterial small subunit ribosomal RNA", at positions 29 to 507 of the family's 1533-position model. The record is from RNAcentral.
AACGAACGCUGGCGGCAUGCCUAACACAUGCAAGUCGAACGAUGCCUUCGGGCAUAGUGGCGCACGGGUGCGUAACGCGUGGGAAUCUGCCCUUGGCUUCGGAAUUACAGUUAGAAAUGACUGCUAAUACCGGAUGAUGUCCCCCUGAGAGAUCUUGGGGACCAAAGAUUUAUCGGCCAGGGAUGAGCCCGCGUAGGAUUAGGUAGUUGGUGGGGUAAAGGCCUACCAAGCCGACGAUCCUUAGCUGGUCUGAGAGGUUGAUCAGCCACACUGGGACUGAGACACGGCCCAGACUCCUACGGGAGGCAGCAGUGGGGAAUAUUGGACAAUGGGGGGAACCCUGAUCCAGCAAUGCCGCGUGAGUGAUGAAGGCCUUAGGGUUGUAAAGCUCUUUUACCAGGGAUGAUAAUGACAGUACCUGGAGAAUAAGCGCCGGCUAACUCCGUG